UGGGGGAUAUUGCACAAUGGGCGAAAGCCUGAUGCAGCGACGCCGCGUGGGGGAUGAAGGCCUUCGGGUUGUAAACUUCUUUUGCUCUGAACAAGGCGCACCAUGGGGUGUGUUGAGUGUAGGGGUUGAUUAGCGCCGGCUAACUACGUGCCAGCAGCCGCGGCAAUACGUAGGGCGCGAGCGUUGUCCGGAAUUAUUGGGCGUAAAGGGCUUGUAGGUGGCUGGUUGCGUCUGUCGUGAAAGCUCAUGGCUUAACUGUGGGUUUGCGGUGGGUACGGGCUGGCUUGAGUGCAGUAGGGGAGGCUGGAAUUCCUGGUGUAGCGGUGGAAUGCGCAGAUAUCAGGAGGAAUACCGGUGGCGAAGGCGGGUCUCUGGGCUGUUACUGACACUGAGGAGCGAAAGCAUGGGGAGCGAACAGG
Molecule: ribosomal RNA, 419 nt
Filed under: bacterium
Lineage: Bacteria
Description: partial 16S ribosomal RNA
Rfam family: Bacterial small subunit ribosomal RNA
Source: RNAcentral